AGUGAACGCUGGCGGCGUGCCUAAUACAUGCAAGUCGAACGAUGAAGCUUUUAGCUUGCUAGAAGUGGAUUAGUGGCGCACGGGUGAGUAAGGUAUAGUUAAUCUGCCCUACACUGGGGGACAACACUUAGAAAUGAGUGCUAAUACCCCAUACUCCUAUUUAACAUAAGUUAGGUAGGGAAAGUUUUUCGGUGUAGGAUGAGACUAUAUAGUAUCAGCUAGUUGGUAAGGUAAAGGCUUACCAAGGCUAUGACGCUUAACUGGUCUGAGAGGAUGAUCAGUCACACUGGAACUGAGACACGGUCCAGACUCCUACGGGAGGCAGCAGUAGGGAAUAUUGCGCAAUGGGGGAAACCCUGACGCAGCAACGCCGCGUGGAGGAUGACACUUUUCGGAGCGUAAACUCCUUUUCUUUGGGAAGAAUUUUGACGGUACCAAAGGAAUAAGCACCGGCUAACUCCGUGCCAGCAGCCGCGGUAAUACGGAGGGUGYAAGCGUUACUCGGAAUCACUGGGCGUAAAGGGCGCGUAGGCGGAUUAUCAAGUCUCUUGUGAAAUCUAAUGGCUUAACCAUUAAACUGCUUGGGAAACUGAUAGUCUAGAGUGAGGGAGAGGCAGAUGGAAUUGGUGGUGUAGGGGUAAAAUCCGUAGAUAUCACCAAGAAUACCCAUUGCGAAGGCGAUCUGCUGGAACUCAACUGACGCUAAGGCGCGAAAGCGUGGGGAGCAAACAGGAUUAGAUACCCUGGUAGUCCACGCCCUAAACGAUGUAUGCUAGUUGUUGGGGUGCUAGUCAUCUCAGUAAUGCAGCUAACGCAUUAAGCAUACCGCCUGGGGAGUACGGUCGCAAGAUUAAAACUCAAAGGAAUAGACGGGGACCCGCACAAGCGGUGGAGCAUGUGGUUUAAUUCGAAGAUACGCGAAGAACCUUACCUAGGCUUGAUAUCCAACAAAUUCUGUAGAGAUACGGAAGUGCUAGCUUGCUAGAAUGUUGAGACAGGUGCUGCACGGCUGUCGUCAGCUCGUGUCGUGAGAUGUUGGGUUAAGUCCCGCAACGAGCGCAACCCUCGUCCUUAGUUGCUAACGAUUCGGUCGAGCACUCUAAGGAGACUGCCUUCGUAAGGAGGAGGAAGGUGGGGACGACGUCAAGUCAUCAUGGCCCUUACGCCUAGGGCGACACACGUGCUACAAUGGCAUAUACAAUGAGACGCAAUACCGCGAGGUGGAGCAAAUCUAUAAAAUAUGUCCCAGUUCGGAUUGUUCUCUGCAACUCGAGAGCAUGAAGCCGGAAUCGCUAGUAAUCGCAAAUCAGCCAUGUUGCGGUGAAUACGUUCCCGGGUCUU
RNAcentral lists this ribosomal RNA (1341 nucleotides) under Campylobacter upsaliensis. Its description in RNAcentral is "bacterial SSU rRNA". It matches the Rfam family "Bacterial small subunit ribosomal RNA", at positions 28 to 1382 of the family's 1533-position model. The record is from RNAcentral. Lineage: Bacteria; Pseudomonadati; Campylobacterota; Epsilonproteobacteria; Campylobacterales; Campylobacteraceae.